GGCUCAGAAUCAACGCUGGCGGCGUGCCUAACACAUGCAAGUCGAACGAGAAAGUGGGGGCAACCCUGCGAGUACAGUGGCAGACGGGUGAGUAACACGUGAACAACCUACCCUUGAGUGGGGAAUAACACCGCGAAAGCGGUGCUAAUACCGCAUAAAAUCUUUAGUUUGCAUGAACUGGAGAUCAAAAGCGCAAGUUGCUUGAGGAGGGGUUCGCGGCUGAUUAGCUAGUUGGUGAGGUAACGGCCCACCAAGGCAACGAUCAGUAGCCGGCCUGAGAGGGCGGACGGCCACACUGGAACUGAGACACGGUCCAGACUCCUACGGGAGGCAGCAGUGGGGAAUUUUGCGCAAUGGACGAAAGUCUGACGCAGCAACGCCGCGUGGAGGAUGAAGGCCUUCGGGUCGUAAACUCCUGUCGAUGGGGACGAAGGCCUCGCGAGAGGUUUGACUGUACCCGUUGAGGAAGCCACGGCUAACUCCGUGCCAGCAGCCGCGGUAAUACGGAGGUGGCAAGCGUUGUUCGGAAUUACUGGGCGUAAAGGGCGCGUAGGCGGCGGAACAAGUCAGAUGUGAAAGCCCCGGGCUUAACUCGGGAAUUGCAUCUGAAACUGUUUUGCUUGAGUUCUGGAGGGGAUGGUGGAAUUCCCAGUGUAGCGGUGAAAUGCGUAGAUAUUGGGAGGAACACCUGCGGCGAAGGCGGCCAUCUGGACAGAGACUGACGCUGAGGCGCGAAAGCUAGGGGAGCGAACGGGAUUAGAUACCCCGGUAGUCCUAGCCGUAAACGAUGGGCACUUGGUGUUGGGGGUAUUGAGUCCCUCGGUGCCGGAGCUAACGCGAUAAGUGCCCCGCCUG
Molecule: ribosomal RNA, 855 nt
Filed under: uncultured bacterium
Lineage: Bacteria
Description: bacterial SSU rRNA
Rfam family: Bacterial small subunit ribosomal RNA
Source: RNAcentral